AGAUGUUGGGUUAAGUCCGUAACGAGCGCAACCCUUGUCCUUAGUUACCAGCACGUUAUGGUGGGCACUCUAAGGAGACUGCCGGUGACAAACCGGAGGAAGGUGGGGAUGACGUCAAGUCAUCAUGGCCUUACGGCCUGGGCUACACACGUGCUACAAUGGUCGGUACAAAGGGUUGCCAAGCCGCGAGGUGGAGCUAAUCCCAUAAAACCGAUCGUAGUCCGGAUCGCAGUCUGCAACUCGACUGCGUGAAGUCGGAAUCGCUAGUAAUCGUGAAUCAGAAUGUCACGGUGAAUACGUUCCCGGGCCUU
Molecule: ribosomal RNA, 311 nt
Filed under: uncultured Pseudomonas sp.
Lineage: Bacteria; Pseudomonadati; Pseudomonadota; Gammaproteobacteria; Pseudomonadales; Pseudomonadaceae
Description: bacterial SSU rRNA
Rfam family: Bacterial small subunit ribosomal RNA
Source: RNAcentral